RNAcentral lists this ribosomal RNA (197 nucleotides) under uncultured bacterium. RNAcentral describes it as "partial 16S rRNA". It matches the Rfam family "Bacterial small subunit ribosomal RNA", at positions 337 to 525 of the family's 1533-position model. The record is from RNAcentral.
UCCUACGGGAGGCAGCAGUGGGGAAUUUUGCGCAAUGGGCGAAAGCCUGACGCAGCAACGCCGCGUGAGUGAUGAAGGCUUUCGGGUCGUAAAGCUCUGUCGAGGGGAAAGAAAUGUAUUGUGGCUAAUAUCCACGAUACUUGACGGUACCCCUAAAGGAAGCACCGGCUAACUCCGUGCCAGCAGCCGCGGUAAUA